GUUUACCGCACGUUGAAGUUUACGAUCAUUUUCAUAUAAUGAAUUUGUUAAAACAAUAAUGCAAUAGUCAAUUAGGGACUAUAUAAUGUAGAGUUUAUUUUGCUUACUGUUUUUGCAACAUGAAAAUUCCAAGAUAGAUCACUCGAUAAAUGGAGUCCAAGACACUUAGCCGAGUCCGUAUACGGGAGUGUCACACCAUCAAUGAUGAUAGGGGAAGAUUUACUUCUAAGCCAUUCUCUCUGGCCCAAUCAGCAACAGCUUGGGCAUCAACAUUUAUCAGCCUUAUUGCUUCAUGGAGCUGAUACGAAUAGAAAU
Molecule: long non-coding RNA, 315 nt
Organism: Cotesia glomerata
Lineage: Eukaryota; Metazoa; Arthropoda; Insecta; Hymenoptera; Braconidae
Exons: 3
Source: RefSeq, a predicted model, not a curated record